RNAcentral lists this long non-coding RNA (687 nucleotides) under Physcomitrium patens. Its description in RNAcentral is "long non-coding RNA (PPAT_LNC006276)". The record is from RNAcentral. Lineage: Eukaryota; Viridiplantae; Streptophyta; Bryopsida; Funariales; Funariaceae.
GAGACUGGCGGGCGAUCGCCCUGGGGAGUGCAAUCUUUGUAGGACUGAAAUCAAGCUUCUGUCGAGGCGGUUUCGGUGUGAAUUUAGGAUUGCGUCAGAAGGAAGCCAUUUCGGAAUGGAGCUUUCUGUCUCUUUUCAUUCCUCGCUGACUGACUGUUCCUCGAUUCCCGAUUCUUGCUUCGAUAUUUCGAGACAUAGGGAUGAAGGCUUGGAGAGUAGGAGGAAUGCGAUGAAUGCUGCACAUUCCCGUAAGCCGUGGUCUUAUGAAUAUAUGUAUUUAUCUCUCUUUCUGGCUGGCUGUCCAUGCACGCACAUACAAAUCAGGUGUGUGGGUCCUCUGCUGUACUGGAACGAGAAACAACAAUCGCAGUGUGAACUUGUGUGAAGCGAACGACGUACUGUACUUCUUCUGAAGAGCCUCGGCAGUGAGGAGACGUGCUGCAUUAACUUGUGAAUUCUUGAGUAUUGGUUUUUGUGAACUCAAAGUGAAUUGACAGUUGCCAUUCUGAGAGUGAUGGGAGUUGAAGCCUGCUUCAGGGGUCUUCAGCUCGUUGGAUUCCUCUAGGAAGAACCACUGCAAGACCUAAAGAUGACUAUUGGGCUGACUUCUUUUUCUAGAAUGCAUCUAUGUGUCUAUAUAUAUAUAUAUAUAUAUAUAUAGAUAUAUACAUAUAUGUAUGUGAGUAA